RNAcentral lists this small nucleolar RNA (133 nucleotides) under Coturnix japonica (Japanese quail). RNAcentral describes it as "Small nucleolar RNA SNORA9 (ENSCJPG00005010648.1)". It matches the Rfam family "Small nucleolar RNA SNORA9". From Rfam's summary of the family: ACA9 is a member of the H/ACA class of snoRNA that guide the sites of modification of uridines to pseudouridines. Lineage: Eukaryota; Metazoa; Chordata; Aves; Galliformes; Phasianidae. The record is from Rfam by way of RNAcentral.
CCGCAAGGCUUCCAGCAUGGUGGGGCCUGCUGUGGCUCCAUCCAUUCCUGCAGCGCUUGCCAGAGUAACCCUGGGGUGGUUUGAGGCCUCUUUCUGUCUCUCAGGGGGGAGGUUAUAGAAACCCCAUACACUC